Molecule: ribosomal RNA, 499 nt
Filed under: Fusarium oxysporum f. sp. ciceris
Lineage: Eukaryota; Fungi; Ascomycota; Sordariomycetes; Hypocreales; Nectriaceae
Description: eukaryotic LSU rRNA
Rfam family: 5.8S ribosomal RNA (bases 122-275)
Source: RNAcentral
GAACAUACCAAUUGUUGCCUCGGCGGAUCAGCCCGCUCCCGGUAAAACGGGACGGCCCGCCAGAGGACCCCUAAACUCUGUUUCUAUAUGUAACUUCUGAGUAAAACCAUAAAUAAAUCAAAACUUUCAACAACGGAUCUCUUGGUUCUGGCAUCGAUGAAGAACGCAGCAAAAUGCGAUAAGUAAUGUGAAUUGCAGAAUUCAGUGAAUCAUCGAAUCUUUGAACGCACAUUGCGCCCGCCAGUAUUCUGGCGGGCAUGCCUGUUCGAGCGUCAUUUCAACCCUCAAGCCCCCGGGUUUGGUGUUGGGGAUCGGCGAGCCCUUGCGGCAAGCCGGCCCCGAAAUCUAGUGGAAGUCUCGCUGCAGCUUCCAUUGCGUAGUAGUAAAACCCUCGCAACUGGUACGCGGCGCGGCCAAGCCGUUAAACCCCCAACUUCUGAAUGUUGACCUCGGAUCAGGUAGGAAUACCCGCUGAACUUAAGCAUAUCAAUAAGCGGAG